AUUUACGAGGUAUGAUACUUCCAUGUUGUAAUGUUAUUUUGGCAGCAGUCUGAUUCAUUAUUAAUAUAAUAUUUAAGGCGAUGUAUUUGACUAUGACCUGCAGUUCUUAGAGAUUAUGACUAGAAUAAAGUUGUUUUAUACUGAAAUAUGCGUGUGUUUGUGUGUGUGUGUGUGUGUUUCAGCCAAAACUCCCUAAUACAACACAAUAUUAUUUUAAAUAUUCACAUAUAUUUCAGUGUUUUAAUAAAUUAGUUCUGGUUUGUGUUUGCGCUUAAUCUCGGAGAACUACGUCACGCGCGACUUCCAGAUCACAUGACACUAGCACUAUUUGUUUUUUGUUUUUACAUAUUAUUUAAAGCGUGUAAAACUACAAGGCAAUACUCAUGCGCCUUUGAAAGAGCAUAAAACAUGUUAAAUUGGAUUUGCGUUAUAAAAAAAUUAUUCAAGCGUGUAUUAACAGCCUAAAAUAACCCGAGUCCUUUAUUCGACACAUGCACGACUGCACAGCACACCGCGCGAUUAUCAUCAGAUAUUAUAAGCGAGAAUCUGCAUCUUGUAUUAAACUCCAGUAAAGAUGUAAAGCUGUAACUCACUAGACGCAUCGAGCUGGACCUGAUGAGGUAGUGAAGAAAGAGAAAACACCAUUAAGCGCCGCAGAGCACAUGCAAACAUAUGGUGAGCUGCUUUCCCUGGACGGCGUUGAAAUAAAUAAAGCUGCGUGCAAACAAGGAGGAAGAAAACACCACCCUGUUCAUCCUGCUCUGAUCUACAGCAGAAAACCACUUUGAGAAGACAUGCUCUCAUCUCUACAGCAGGUCUGUCUCAGGGUGUCUUAUUAAUUAAAGCCGUGGACCUCAGAGACUCGUCAAGACGCUGGAUUACAGACGGACAUCUGAGUUAUCAGCAGGUGCGUCCCAAAACCGGCUGACUUCAGUUCUGCCUCCCAAUACAUCUGACCAGUCUGGCAUCCUCGAACGAAUUCCUGCAACGUCUGCCGUAUUAUUGUCAGAAGAACGCUUUGAAAAAUCCUGAUGUUCUGGAAGCUCUUCAGUCUUGUGAGGAUGAUUUGACACAAAGUAUCUUCAAGACGAGUCGACAUACAACUUAACAGACGAUUGACACACAGUACGACUCUCAGCUUUAAAUAAUACGGUUUCAGGCUGGUUUUGUUGUUGUUGCAUUAGGCUUUUUGACUAAAACGACAUCACCAGUUUUUAAACUCAUUUUUUUACGCUGUAGGUCACUUAUGAGGAGAACUGGUAUAGAUUAGACUUUUUUUGCUCAUUGCUAGUAAAAAUCAAACAUAAUUACAAAGUAACAAGUUAAACGCCUUUACUGUUUUAGUUUCCUAUUUACAUAUCUCCCUUUUUUCAUUCUCAUUUCUAUUUAAUUUAAUUUUUUUUCCUUAGUUUUGACUUGUUUUCCUUUCCUGAUUCAUUCACAUUCGACUAUUUCUGUUUCUUGAUUCCUUUUUCAUUUCACUUUUUCCAUUCCAGUUAUUUUUCUACUUCCUUCCUGUUUUCUUUCCUUCCUCUCUCAUUUUCCUGUCUUUUUUGGUUUCUUUACAUACACUUUAAUUUCCUUUUGUAAUAUUCCUUACAUUACCAUUUUAAUUUCCCUGAUUCCUUUAUUUUUUACUGUUUCUUCAUUUCUUUAUUUCCUUACUUGUUUCCUUUUGUUUACAUUUUUUUUCUAAUUUCAUUUCCUGUUUCUCUUACUUCUAGAAUUCUAGUUUUUUUUUUUCCUUUUCCUAUUUCUAAUUCCUUUGGCUAUUUACAUUUAUUUUUCCCUUUCCUGUUUCCUUCCUAUGUGGCACUGACGGUCAUUCAUGCAAAAUAAGUACAAGGUGAAACAUCUUCAACAUCAUACCAUUUCAUAGCGAAUGUUUCAGGUUUAAAGCUCUGCAGUCACACACAGGUCUGGAGCAGCACGUCUCGUCCUCUCUCUCCUCUGUCCUGUAUGAGCUGGAUCUGUGCAUCAUGUCUCUCGUCAGCGCUGAAGCUAGCCGUGUCUGGGUCUCAUCAGAAUGAAACGGGACGGGAGGCAGGCUGCUGAUCUCUCGCUCUCUCGCUCCUCUUCACCAAAUCAAUGGUGGCCUGUGGAGCGCCGGCCUGACGCUCACUGACUCUUUCAUGAGGAUGUUUGAAGCUCUGAAGAUCUUGAGGAGAGAGUCAGUCGCUGUUUUGGGAUGCCAGCGGGCCGCUCAUGUCAAGACCUGCCACAUUCACCUUCACAUCCUCCACCGCUGAACACAGGAUCAGAGCAAAGUUCAGCUCUAUCCCAGUCACACUCGGAGAAGGAAGACCAAUCAGAAGUCAGCAUGCAAAUACUACGAUGAUGUCAUCACUGCUGGAUACAUUUGAAAAGUGAAGAUUCCAUCAGGUCAAAGAAAGGUCAGACCAUAACAUUACAGUGGAAUAUUUACAGCCACCGAAAACAGUUGGAGCUGAAUUAAUUGGAGAAGUUGAACUCAAGCCCUCUGAUGAUGUAUGUUGUGUCUGUGAUUCUGUUCUUCUUUUCUCGCUCCUCGUUUAUCACGAUGAUCACAUUUCUCUCCACUGGUUCUUCUCUUAUUUCUCAAGAUGAUAAAUUCAGACCAUGUGUGGACGAGGCCAUGCACUGAAUUCUUCCUGAGUUUUGUGUUUUGAAGUGCACACUAGUGAGCAACGUCGUAUAUUAACAUUGUAUUUGUAAAUAAAAUACUGUGCAUUUUAUAAACUUGUCACACAAGCUUUCUGGCAGGCACAGUUGUGUUUUAUUUACAUUUUUAUAGUGUGUGUGUGCGAGUUCAUGCACAUGUGAGCUUGAGUGUGUAUGUGUGUGUGUGUGUUUGUGUGUGUGUGUGUGUGUGUGUGUGUGUGUGUGUGUGUGUGUGUGUGUGUGUGUGUGUGUGUGUGUGUGUGUGUAAAUGCUGAGCCAGCGGCUCCAUCUCUCCUCUGAACACAUGAUUGAUGAAGUCCAUCAGAGAGAGAGAGAGAGAGAGAGGGGGGGGGGGAUACGGUGAAGAGAGGAGCACAGAGUGAUGGAUGGAUGUGAGCUGAUUGCUGUUGUUUGACACUCUCAGAUCUUAGUGUUUAAUGAAUGAGUGUGUGUCACAGGCUCAGAUCAUUCACUUACACUGUGCUGCAGAUGCUGAAGUGAAUCUGAGACUGACGUUCUGUCUGUAGUUCUGACGUUAUGUCAUUUAACAUCUUUCUGUCAUUAAACAGAUCUGCUAAGCUUUCCUGGUGUGUGUGUAUUCCACAGACAAGCUGCUGGUUCUCAAUUUGACCCUUUUUUGCCAUUUCCCAUCCAUUAUAGUUCUGAAAAAUCAGCCCUGACUCCACAAACCUGCCAGGUUCGUCCCAGGAAUGAGUGUCAUCAUUAGUGACAGGAAGCAGAGAUUCCAGGACGUCGUUCUGAAGGAUUGAUCUCUGUCUGCUCAAACACCGGGUCACUGUGAUGAAGGUCAUGAGAUUCACUCCAGACGUUUGCCAGACGGCAUUUAUAACCAUCAGAUCGCAUCAACAGCUGGACGUGUAUGAUUCAUUUACAUCAGCCUGACAGGAACACACACACACACACACACACACAUGCUCUCUCUCUCUCUGUGUGUGUGUUCUGUGGUGGAAACAGUGAGGUAAAUGUCCCCGUAUGAUUCAGGUUAGAGGAUACAGUCUCUGCUGCUCCGAUAAGAAUUGAAAUCCUGUUUUGCUUCAUAUCAACUCACUAAACCAAAUGGGAACUCGCUCUGAUUUAUUACUGCACUGUUUUCAACCUUGACUCAUAAAGUGUUUGUCGCAGCCCGUUCCAUUUCUUUUUAGGUUAACAGGAAGCACUGUCCACAGAAACACUACGCUCCCAAAGCAAACGUUUUAACCCGAUGAAUCGGGACAAACAAUGGAUUCACAAAACAAUCAUAAAAUGCAAAUAACCCUAUAAUCAAGCAUGGUUUUUCUAUUAGCGUCUAUAUUAUAUUAUGAUAAUAAAUUAAUUAUAAUUAUUUAGUUUUAUUGCAGCAGAUUUAAUUAUUAUAAUUAAAUGUUUGAUUUUAUUUUUGUAUUUGAAUGUAUUUUAUACACAUUUAUAUUUACGUUGUUAUUUGUGUUUUUGA
Molecule: long non-coding RNA, 4093 nt
Organism: Carassius gibelio (silver crucian carp)
Lineage: Eukaryota; Metazoa; Chordata; Actinopteri; Cypriniformes; Cyprinidae
Exons: 6
Source: RefSeq, a predicted model, not a curated record